This 732-nucleotide ribosomal RNA is filed under the name uncultured Actinomycetes bacterium. RNAcentral describes it as "bacterial SSU rRNA". It matches the Rfam family "Bacterial small subunit ribosomal RNA", at positions 320 to 1050 of the family's 1533-position model. Lineage: Bacteria; Bacillati; Actinomycetota; Actinomycetes. The record is from RNAcentral.
CUAGAUUGGCCCAGACUCCUACGGGAGGCAGCAGUGGGGAAUAUUGCACAAUGGGCGAAAGCCUGAUGCAGCGACGCCGCGUGAGGGAUGACGGCCUUCGGGUUGUAAACCUCUUUCAGCAGGGAAGAAGCGACUGGGUUUUCCCGGACGUGACGGUACCUGCAGAAGAAGCGCCGGCUAACUACGUGCCAACAGCCGCGGUAAUACGUAGGGCGCAAGCGUUGUCCGGAAUUAUUGGGCGUAAAGAGCUCGUAGGCGGUUUGUCGCGUCGACUGUGAAAACUCAGGGGCUCAACUCCGAGCUUGCAGUUGAUACGGGCAGACUAGAGUUCGGCAGGGGGGACUGGAAUUCCUGGUGUAGCGGUGAAAUGCGCAGAUAUCAGGAGGAACACCGGUGGCGAAGGCGGGUCUCUGGGCCGAUACUGACGCUGAGGAGCGAAAGCGUGGGGAGCGAACAGGAUUAGAUACCCUGGUAGUCCACGCCGUAAACGUUGGGCGCUAGGUGUGGGGUCCCUUCCACGGGUUCCGUGCCGCAGCUAACGCAUUAAGCGCCCCGCCUGGGGAGUGCGGCCGCAAGGCUAAAACUCAAAGGAAUUGACGGGGGCCCGCACAAGCGGCGGAGCAUGUGGCUUAAUUCGAUGCAACGCGAAGAAACCUUACCAAGGCUUGACAUGUGCRGAAAUCCGGCAGAGAUGUCGGGUCCGCAAGGGCUGCGCACAGGUGGUGCACGGUU